RNAcentral lists this ribosomal RNA (526 nucleotides) under Microhyla nakkavaram (Nicobarese narrow-mouthed frog). RNAcentral's name for it is "partial large subunit ribosomal RNA". It matches the Rfam family "Bacterial large subunit ribosomal RNA", at positions 1941 to 2629 of the family's 2925-position model. The record is from RNAcentral. Lineage: Eukaryota; Metazoa; Chordata; Amphibia; Anura; Microhylidae.
UCUGACCGGUGAAAGGUAGCGUAAUCACUUGUUCUCUUAAAUGAGGACUGGUAUGAACGGCAUCACGAGGGUUAUGCUGUCUCCCUACUUUAUUCAGUGAAACUAAUCUCCCCGUGAAGAAGCGGGGAUAAAAAUAUAAGACGAGAAGACCCCAUGGAGCUUUAAACUCAGUAUCAACUGCCAUAAUUAUAGCCUUAUAUUCAAGCAGUCUAUGACUACUAGUUUUCGGUUGGGGUGACCACGGAGUAAAACCUAACCUCCAUGAUGAAAGGAACUAAAAACCUAAAUUAAGGGCUACAACCCUAAAUAUCAUAAAAUUGACUAACUGAUCCAAUUAAUUGAUCAACGAACCAAGUUACCCUGGGGAUAACAGCGCAAUCCAUUUCAAGAGCUCUUAUCGACAAAUGGGUUUACGACCUCGAUGUUGGAUCAGGGUAUCCAAGUGGCGCAGCCGCUACUAAUGGUUCGUUUGUUCAACGAUUAAAACACUUACGUGAUCUGAGUAGGAAACGGGAGAAUGGAAAAG